RNAcentral lists this ribosomal RNA (231 nucleotides) under uncultured microorganism. RNAcentral describes it as "partial 16S ribosomal RNA". It matches the Rfam family "Bacterial small subunit ribosomal RNA", at positions 9 to 229 of the family's 1533-position model. The record is from RNAcentral.
GAGUUUGAUCGUGGCUCAGGAUGAACGCUGGCGGCGUGCCUAAUACAUGCAAGUCGAGCGAACAGACGAGGAGCUUGCUCCUCUGACGUUAGCGGCGGACGGGUGAGUAACACGUGGAUAACCUACCUAUAAGACUGGGAUAACUUCGGGAAACCGGAGCUAAUACCGGAUAAUAUAUUGAACCGCAUGGUUCAAUAGUGAAAGACGGUUUUGCUGUCACUUAUAGAUGGA